This 544-nucleotide long non-coding RNA is filed under the name Solanum tuberosum (potato). Its description in RNAcentral is "long non-coding RNA (STUB_LNC003229)". Lineage: Eukaryota; Viridiplantae; Streptophyta; Magnoliopsida; Solanales; Solanaceae. The record is from RNAcentral.
AAAUCUUUUCCUCUCUCUGUUAUGACUAGAAGAAUACUCUGUUAAAGCAUACUGUUUUGCUUCUGAUGUAGUUGAACUUAGUCUAUCAAUUGAUAGUCUCAUUAAUCCAUCUGUCAAUAGUCUAAGAUGUUUGUCAUUUUGGCGUCACACAUGAUUUUGUGGACUUAGCCCUUGUCCCAUGUAUUUAUUUCAUCUUAAUUUCACUCUAAGUAUUGGACCCCCCACUUCGUAUUUUACCUUAUUAUUUGCUGGUCAUCUUUGUAAUCUUGUGGAGAUAGGAUUAAGCAUGUAUUCUUUAUUUAGGAACCACAUAUAGUACUGUUUGUUUGUUUUAUUAGGCUUAAGAGAAUAAACGUAUGCUCCUAUGCUUCAGAAAAGGUUGCAGAUACAUUAAGCCUUCCAUCAUAUUAUAAAAACAUAUUCAUAUGCACGUGACUACAUAAUAUUGUUUAUUAUGUAUUUUGAUAAACAUAGAGUCCAUUUGCUAAUUCUUUUCGUCUUUUUAUAUUUCAUGUACAACCGGAGAGCUGGAGUUUCUACUUUG